GACGAACGCUGGCGGCGUGCUUAACACAUGCAAGUCGAACGCUGAACCCGCUUCGGUGGGGGAUGAGUGGCGAACGGGUGAGUAACACGUGGGCAACCUGCCCCCGGCUCUGGGAUAACUCCAAGAAAUUGGGGCUAAUACCGGAUGUGACCGCUGGCCGCAUGGUCUGGUGGUGGAAAGGGUUUGCGGCUGGGGAUGGGCCCGCGGCCUAUCAGCUUGUUGGUGGGGUAGUGGCCUACCAAGGCGACGACGGGUAGCCGGCCUGAGAGGGUGACCGGCCACACUGGGACUGAGACACGGCCCAGACUCCUACGGGAGGCAGCAGUGGGGAAUAUUGCGCAAUGGGCGGAAGCCUGACGCAGCGACGCCGCGUGGGGGAUGACGGCCUUCGGGUUGUAAACCUCUUUCAGCAGGGACGAAGCGCAAGUGACGGUACCUGCAGAAGAAGCACCGGCCAACUACGUG
RNAcentral lists this ribosomal RNA (465 nucleotides) under uncultured bacterium. RNAcentral's name for it is "partial 16S ribosomal RNA". It matches the Rfam family "Bacterial small subunit ribosomal RNA", at positions 28 to 507 of the family's 1533-position model. The record is from RNAcentral.